GGGGGCGACAGGUUUCGACAGCAGGAUGGAAGGUCUGGGAGAGCGAGCCGAGGAUGGAGGAUCCUCGUUAAUCCGACUCCAAAACAAUAAUUGCCAACGAAGAUUUCGCACUGGCUGCUUAACUAAAGCAGUCACGCCGCCCGGGGGCUCGGUCGUUGGAACCCGGAACGACGUCAAAAAGACGGCUGGAACCGCCGCAGUUUUCUCUGGCGGCAGUUCGAGACUCUAGGGAGAAAUAGACGAAGGGAAUCCUGUCUGUGGGAGUCCCCAGGUCAAAAUUAAAUCACUGACUACACUCGUAGCGUUGCCGGAUGGUCCCCUGUUGGACCGGAGUUCGAUUCUCCGCGCCUCCACCA
RNAcentral lists this transfer-messenger RNA (356 nucleotides) under Synergistaceae bacterium. It matches the Rfam family "transfer-messenger RNA". Rfam says of the family: Bacterial tmRNA, also known as 10Sa RNA or SsrA, is named for its dual tRNA and mRNA-like properties. Its role is to liberate the mRNA from a stalled ribosome. Lineage: Bacteria; Thermotogati; Synergistota; Synergistia; Synergistales; Synergistaceae. The record is from RNAcentral.